CCGAAAACGCUAGCUAGUUGCGUUUAAAACAUUACCGGAUCACUGUCGAGCGAGAUGACAUUGUGUUCUGGUAUAGUGGAAACGCGAUUAAAGAGCACUAGUGCCGAUGGUAUCGUUUGCUAGUUGAACCGUCCGCCUGUAGUGCUUGUUGCAU
This 154-nucleotide unclassified non-coding RNA is filed under the name Aphelenchus avenae. Its description in RNAcentral is "ITS2". The record is from RNAcentral. Lineage: Eukaryota; Metazoa; Nematoda; Chromadorea; Rhabditida; Aphelenchidae.